GCAGUCGAGCGGACCGAAGGGAGCUUGCUCUUUUAGGUUAGCGGCGGACGGGUGAGUAACACGUGGGCAACCUGCCCUGCAGACUGGGAUAACUUCGGGAAACCGGAGCUAAUACCGGAUAACACCGAAAACCGCAUGGUUUUCGGUUGAAAGGCGGCUUUUAGCUGUCACUGCAGGAUGGGCCCGCGGCGCAUUAGCUAGUUGGUGAGGUAACGGCUCACCAAGGCGACGAUGCGUAGCCGACCUGAGAGGGUGACCGGCCACACUGGGGCUGAGACACGGCCCAGACUCCUACGGGAGGCAGCAGUAGGGAAUCUUCCGCAAUGGACGAAAGUCUGACGGAGCAACGCCGCGUGAGCGAAGAAGGUCUUCGGAUCGUAAAGCUCUGUUGUCAGGGAAGAACAAGUACCGUUCGAACAGGGCGGUACCUUGACGGUACCUGACGAGGAAGCCACGGCUAACUACGUGCCAGCAGCCGCGGUAAU
RNAcentral lists this ribosomal RNA (485 nucleotides) under uncultured bacterium. RNAcentral's name for it is "bacterial SSU rRNA". It matches the Rfam family "Bacterial small subunit ribosomal RNA", at positions 57 to 524 of the family's 1533-position model. The record is from RNAcentral.